ACUACAAACUUGACAUUGGCUAAUCUUUGUAAAGCCAGACGAGAGAAAAAAAAAUCUUAACUGUUUUAUAAUCACUUAGGAACAAGUUUGGAACUACCAUUUUCAUUACUAUGCUAUUAUGUGAGUGUAUGUUGUAUUUGUGAGUUGAGGGGCUUGUGACCUAGUUGUGAUAGUGUAUAUCAAUCGAUAGCGAUUGUUAAGCAACGUUUACAUUGGCCCAAAUCGGUAACUGGAUGGGCGUCCAACUUCGAAAAAUGUAGUUGCCACUAAGUACAAACUAAUUAACAUAAUUCAAAAAAAAUCAAAAUUCAAAAUAUUUUUAUUCAAUUAGACCUACCUAAACAAGACAUUGAUAAAAAAUUGAAACUAUAAAAUUGAGUAGGUACGUAGUUUAACAGAGAAACUAUAAAAAUAAACAGCUGAAUUGAUAAAAGAUUGAUAACCUUCUUCAGCCAAAUAGUUGACAGAUUUGACAGUCAUUGACGAGAUUUGAAUAUCGAACAAAACAUUUUUAAGGUCAAUGGUUAAUUAAUCGUCAAAGGACAUGUGGCAUUCGCCUACUAAUUAA
This is a long non-coding RNA of Maniola jurtina (meadow brown), 568 nucleotides long. RefSeq lists it as uncharacterized. The record is from RefSeq and is a predicted model, not a curated record. The transcript is spliced from 2 exons. Lineage: Eukaryota; Metazoa; Arthropoda; Insecta; Lepidoptera; Nymphalidae.